This 73-nucleotide transfer RNA is filed under the name bacterium JGI 053. It matches the Rfam family "tRNA". From Rfam's summary of the family: Transfer RNA (tRNA) molecules are approximately 80 nucleotides in length. Their secondary structure includes four short double-helical elements and three loops (D, anti-codon, and T loops). The record is from Rfam by way of RNAcentral.
UGCUCGGUAGCUCAGCGGGUAGAGCGGCGGGUUGAAGAUCCGCGCGUCGGGGGUUCGAGUCCCUCCCGGGCAA